Molecule: ribosomal RNA, 468 nt
Filed under: uncultured bacterium
Lineage: Bacteria
Description: partial 16S ribosomal RNA
Rfam family: Bacterial small subunit ribosomal RNA
Source: RNAcentral
GACGAACGCUGGCGGCGUGCUUAACACAUGCAAGUCGAACGGAAAGGCCCUGCUCUUGUGGGGUGCUCGAGUGGCGAACGGGUGAGUAACACGUGAGUAACCUGCCCUUGACUUUGGGAUAACUUCAGGAAACUCGGGCUCAUACCGGAUAGGAGCUCCUGCUGCAUGGUGGGGGUUGGAAAGUUUCGGCGGUUGGGGAUGGACUCGCGGCUUAUCAGCUUGUUGGUGUGGUAGUGGCUUACCAAGGCUUUGACGGGUAGCCGGCCUGAGAGGGUGACCGGCCACAUGGGGACUGAGAUAGGGCCCAGACUCCUACGGGAGGCAGCAGUGGGGAAUAUUGCACAAUGGGCGGAAGCCUGAUGCAGCAACGCCGCGUGCGGGAUGACGGCCUUCGGGUUGUAAACCGCUUUCGCAUGUGACGAAGCGUGAGUGACGGUAAUGGGUAAAGAAGCACCGGCUAACUACGUG